Molecule: non-coding RNA, 24 nt
Filed under: Arabidopsis thaliana (thale cress)
Lineage: Eukaryota; Viridiplantae; Streptophyta; Magnoliopsida; Brassicales; Brassicaceae
Source: RNAcentral
GAUUAUAUGCGAGGUGGGUUCAGA